GACGAACGCUGGCGGCGUGCUUAACACAUGCAAGUCGAACGGAAAGGCCCUGCUUUUGUGGGGUGCUCGAGUGGCGAACGGGUGAGUAACACGUGAGUAACCUGCCCUUGACUUUGGGAUAACUUCAGGAAACUGGGGCUAAUACCGGAUAGGAGCUCCUGCUGCAUGGUGGGGGUUGGAAAGUUUCGGCGGUUGGGGAUGGACUCGCGGCUUAUCAGCUUGUUGGUGGGGUAGUGGCUUACCAGGGCUUUGACGGGUAGCCGGCCUGAGAGGGUGACCGGCCACAUUGGGACUGAGAUACGGCCCAGACUCCUACGGGAGGCAGAAGUGGGGAAUAUUGCACAAUGGGCGGAAGCCUGAUGCAGCAACGCCGCGUGCGGGAUGACGGCCUUCGGGUUGUAAACCGCUUUCGCCUGUGACGAAGCGUGAGUGACGGUAAUGGGUAAAGAAGCACCGGCUAACUACGUG
RNAcentral lists this ribosomal RNA (468 nucleotides) under uncultured bacterium. RNAcentral describes it as "partial 16S ribosomal RNA". It matches the Rfam family "Bacterial small subunit ribosomal RNA", at positions 28 to 507 of the family's 1533-position model. The record is from RNAcentral.